AACGAACGCUGGCGGCAUGCCUAACACAUGCAAGUCGAACGAGACCUUCGGGUCUAGUGGCGCACGGGUGCGUAACGCGUGAGAACCUGCCCUUAUGUUCGGAAUAACUCCCCGAAAGGGGUGCUAAUACCGGAUCAUGUCUUCGGACCAAAGAUUUAUCGCCUUUGGAUGGGCCCGCGUUGGAUUAGCUAGUUGGUAGGGUAAAAGCCUACCAAGGCGACGAUCCAUAGCUGGUCUGAGAGGAUGAUCAGCCACACUGGGACUGAGACACGGCCCAGACUCCUACGGGAGGCAGCAGUGGGGAAUAUUGGACAAUGGGCGAAAGCCUGAUCCAGCAAUGCCGCGUGAGUGAUGAAGGCCUUAGGGUUGUAAAGCGCUUUUACCCGGGAUGAUAAUGACAGUACCGGGAGAAUAAGCUCCGGCUAACUCCGUG
This 433-nucleotide ribosomal RNA is filed under the name uncultured bacterium. Its description in RNAcentral is "partial 16S ribosomal RNA". It matches the Rfam family "Bacterial small subunit ribosomal RNA", at positions 29 to 507 of the family's 1533-position model. The record is from RNAcentral.